RNAcentral lists this long non-coding RNA (2665 nucleotides) under Cyanoderma ruficeps (rufous-capped babbler). RNAcentral's name for it is "lncRNA (ENSCRFG00000006730.1)". The record is from RNAcentral. Lineage: Eukaryota; Metazoa; Chordata; Aves; Passeriformes; Timaliidae.
AUGGUUCCCGGGAGGAGCGAGCGGAGGGCGGCGUGCGGGGAGCGCGGAGCGGGCGCUACAGGAGCGGCAGCAGGACAAAGAAAACCAUGUGCGGCGGCGGCGGCCGGGGGCAGCGGCGGCACCUCCGGGUGCGGGGCGGUGCGGGGCGGUGCGGCCGCGGCGCCUCCUCCCUCCCUCCGCGGCUCCAGCGCCGGCGGCUGCGCGUCCCUUCCUUCGGGCGGCUUUUUGGGUUCUCUUCCGCUGUUUGCAGGGGUGUUUGGGGGACUGACUGGUUUUGUUUUGGUUAAAAAGUCAUGCCCGUCCUCUCCCGAGCCAAAGCGGGCUUCCGCCGGGCGCCGUCCCUCCCGUCGCGGCCGCGCUCAGGUGAAUUCCAUGGGGGAGAAGCAGCGGCCCGGCCCCGGCUCCUCCGGCCCCGCCGAAACAGCCUCGCAAGCCUGUAAUCCCCGAGGGGCGGCCGCUCCGCGCUGCUCCGCUCCGCCCGGCCCGGCUGCAGGCGCCGGCCGGACCCCUCUCGCCGCCCGGCUCCGCUCCGCACUGCGCGGCGCUCCCGGAGCCGCCGCCGCCGCCCGCCGGCUCCGCCCUCCGCCGGCCCCGCCCCGCGCUCCGCCGGGGUCCCCGCGGCGGGGGCGGCCCGGCCGGGCGGGGGAGGCUCCGCGGGAGCUGCGCUCCCUCCGCCGGCGGCCGGCCCGGAGCAGCCCGCGGAGCCGCGGGGCUGCGCGGAGCCUCCGGCGGCGGCUCCUCGGUGCGCGGCGAGGGACCCGCGGAGCCGGACGGAGUCCCCCCUGCCCCGGGAUGGCGGCACACGCACACGAGCAUCAGUCGCGAAAGCUCCAUGAACAUCAUUCUCUAGAGCUGCGCGGGAGUGGGAAAAACCAACGUCCCCAGCUGCAGGCAGGGUGGCCUCCCGGGGACUCCGGCUGCUCGCUGGCUGUGGUUUCUCUCUGAGCCUCCUGUGCAAAGACUCGCCUGACUACUUCCUGCACUGAACAUUAUUGUCGACGGGCAGUGGAUUUCCCACUCGCUGUAGGUUUUCCUUAAGUGCAGCACACCAUUAGUAAUGGCCACCGCGGAAAAUAAAUGCACAGAUACGUGAUGAUAUAAAUGAUUAUUCACUGAAGCGCGGCACUUGGAGCCAAAUGAUGUUUCCUGGGAAGAUGAGAGGCAGUUAUGCACAUUGGCACAGUAGCUCCAUACGGUGAGAUGUUUCCUGGGAAAGGGAUAGGUGCUAAGAGGGGAUUUACGGGCUUGCAAGACCGUGUCCAGGGAGUGUUUUCAAGAUUUCAAACCUGGAAAUAGGUUUCAAAGCCAUACUGGGCUAGGAGUGCUAAUGGAAUUAAACUCCCAUGGGUUACACUUGAAUUUGAGCUAAAUCCUCAGAAACAGACUUGACAAGUCCUAUUCUCUCCAACUCCUGUGGCAGAGCUCAGUCUGGAGGAGGUGAUUCUCUUAAUGAAAACAUGGGAACUACUUACACCAGCCAGGAAGCAAGUGCAGAGCAAGAGCUGUGUGUGCCUGCUCAGCCUUACCUGAGCCGGGAUUAUAGUUAUGUGCCCAAAAUCCAGUGGCAGCUUGGGAAGAUUCACAUCUGUCCUUGCCCAGCUCCAAGCUCACCUGAGGACGUGGGAGGAGGAGGGACUGCCCUUCUCCUGGCCCUAGGGCACCGAGGUGGCUCUGAGCUCUCCCUCAGCAGGGACACGGUGCAGGUGGCUGUGGUGGCUCUGGUGGCCCUGCCCAGAGCAAAUCCCACAGCAUGUGAGGGGAAGGAGGAAUCAUGAUCUGACUGUCCACACAAGCACAAGUGCUGUAAUUAAGAAAGAACACCUACCAAUUACCCAUGUAGAACUACACGAUUUUAUGCAAAUACUUCCCCUUCGUUCCUCAUUCCAUCACCACAUGAUCCAUUUAAGAAUCCAUUUAAGUUUUCCCCUUCAGUGGCUUCUCCAAGAUCUCAUCUGAGGAGCAGUCCCACUGACUGUGGUGAUUUCUGCUGGGUCAGUGGGGUGGGAAGAUGUACAAAGAACAAUAAUCCUCCACAGGAGAUGAACACGCCCAGCACUGCUCCAGGCUCAGACAUCACAGUGCUUUUGUGCCCUGGCUGAUCCAGGGUGGGAGCACUUUGGUGAAACCGGGACAAGUGGUCUCCACUGGAAAAUCAAGGAAUUAUGGCCAGCCUGAGAUCCUGGUAUGGCAAUGGAAAUGAAUUCUCCAGGACUGUCCAGAUGAGUAGGUUAUCCCCACAUUUCCACACCAUGACUGAGCAUGGAUUUUGGCUCUUAAACUUUCACAGGUUUUUACAUCUAAUAAAUAUAUAUUUGCAUCUAAUAAAUAAAUAAAUGAAUGAAUAAUCUGCAGAGAUAAUCCUGUGCUAUCAGAGACGUGGUUUUCAUCUCCUCUUAGAAACCCAACAGAAAUGGCUUCAGGUCUGGUCUCUGGAAUCAAGAGUGGGCAGAGGCCAAAAGCCAGUGCAGCCCAGUGGCCAUGGAUGUUGCUUGAGUGCAGAUUCCAGUCCUCACCAAAAAAUAAAUUGAUAAAGGCAUUAAACUGGCCGAGUGUUCUCUGUACAGUCAUAGCACUUGGGGGCUCCAUGGGCCGAUGGUGAGGCUGUACCUGGACAAGGAAUUAAAUGCACAGUACCAAGGCGUGGCAGCUCCUGUAUUCUAUGAGC